This 253-nucleotide ribosomal RNA is filed under the name uncultured bacterium. RNAcentral's name for it is "partial 16S ribosomal RNA". It matches the Rfam family "Bacterial small subunit ribosomal RNA", at positions 524 to 776 of the family's 1533-position model. The record is from RNAcentral.
UACGUGGGGGGCAAGCGUUGUUCGGAAUUACUGGGCGUAAAGGGCUCGUAGGUGGCCAACUAAGUCGGACGUGAAAUCCCUCGGCUUAACCGGGGAACUGCGUCUGAUACUGGAUGGCUUGAGUUCGGGAGAGGGAUGCGGAAUUCCAGGUGUAGCGGUGAAAUGCGUAGAUAUCUGGAGGAACACCGGUGGCGAAGGCGGCAUCCUGGGCCGACACUGACGCUGAGGAGCGAAAGCCAGGGGAGCAAACGGG